This 23-nucleotide non-coding RNA is filed under the name Cricetulus griseus (Chinese hamster). The record is from RNAcentral. Lineage: Eukaryota; Metazoa; Chordata; Mammalia; Rodentia; Cricetidae.
UAAAUUUAAGAAACAAAGGGAGA